CACUCUCCUGGAGAAAGUCAGACUGGCCUGUUAGCAACGGAAUGAAGCAACGGGAUUGCUGAGAAAACGCAUACAAUGAAGGAGGGAUAGUUGGUGUCACUCUACACCAGGUGCUUCCUAGAUUUCUGCGUAGAUUGUUGAGUAAACAGAAGUAUGAUAGAUGUCACUAAGAAGUCACACAGCAUCCACAGAUAAAGCACGGGGCAUGUGCCACCCUUCUCCACUUCUUUGGUGCUGGAGACUCCAGACCUGUGUGGGAAACAAGAGAAGAGUCAGUGUGUGUGCUACAAAUGAUUAGAAAAAAGGAAAGGAAGUACCUGGGUACAGAAAAAUCAACUGUCAAAUAAACACCCAGUGAUGGGGUCACCAAAGACUGAGUAGACUCAGGCCAUUCAGGAAUAAGGAGAACAGCUCAGGAGAGAACAGAUAAGUACAUACCUUCCCACCUUCCCCUCCAUUCCUCUUCAUAAAUUCAAGAUUUAACAUAAAGCUUUGGCUUCUAGCAGUAAAUAUGCAGUUAUAUUGGUCUCUCUCCUAUUAAACAGUCUUGAAGCCAAUCUGAUGUAAUGUUCUUGAACCUGAAUAAAACUUCCUGAGUGACUAGAAUAUUCAUUUGUAUAUCCUUUCUUGGUCCCCUCACCCCACUUUCUAUACAGACGGACCCCAUUUGGUUCUCUCUAAAAUUACAGAUGGGUUAGGUUUUUUGACCCAUCCAAACAGCAAUAUCAUAUUUGGCAUGAAUUGCAUCAAAUAAUGGUUUUUUUUCUUUUUUUGAGACAGGGUUGAACUGUGUAGUU
Molecule: long non-coding RNA, 797 nt
Organism: Fukomys damarensis (Damara mole-rat)
Lineage: Eukaryota; Metazoa; Chordata; Mammalia; Rodentia; Bathyergidae
Exons: 3
Source: RefSeq, a predicted model, not a curated record